This 301-nucleotide ribosomal RNA is filed under the name uncultured bacterium. Its description in RNAcentral is "partial 16S ribosomal RNA". It matches the Rfam family "Bacterial small subunit ribosomal RNA", at positions 509 to 809 of the family's 1533-position model. The record is from RNAcentral.
CAGUAGCCGCGGGAAUACGAAGGGUGCAAGCGUUACUCGGAAUUACUGGGCGUAAAGCGUGCGUAGGUGGUGGUUUAAGUCCGUUGUGAAAGCCCUGGGCUCAACCUGGGAAUUGCAGUGGAUACUGGGUCACUAGAGUGUGGUAGAGGAUAGUGGAAUUUCCGGUGUAGCAGUGAAAUGCGUAGAGAUCGGAAGGAACAUCUGUGGCGAAGGCGACUAUCUGGGCCAACACUGACACUGAGGCACGAAAGCGUGGGGAGCAAACAGGAUUAGAUACCCCGGUAGUCCCUGUCUCUUAUAU